GACGAACGCUGGCGGCGUGCUUAACACAUGCAAGUCGAACGGAAAGGCCCUGCUUUUGUGGGGUGCUCGAGUGGCGAACGGGUGAGUAACACGUGAGUAACCUGCCCUUGACUUUGGGAUAACUUCAGGAAACUGGGGCUAAUACCGGAUAGGAGCUCCUGCUGCAUGGUGGGGGUUGGAAAGUUUCGGCGGUUGGGGAUGGACUCGCGGCUCAUCAGCUUGUUGGUGGGGUAGUGGCUUACCAAGGCUUUGACGGGUAGCCGGCCUGAGAGGGUGACCGGCCACAUUGGGACUGAGAUACGGCCCAGACUCCUACGGGAGACAGCAGUGGGGAAUAUUGCACAAUGGGCGGCAGCCUGAUGCAGCAACGCCGCGUGCGGGAUGACGGCCUUCGGGUUGUAAACCGCUUUCGCCUGUGACGAAGCGUGAGUGACGGUAAUAAGUAAAGAAGCACCGGCUAACUACGUG
Molecule: ribosomal RNA, 468 nt
Filed under: uncultured bacterium
Lineage: Bacteria
Description: partial 16S ribosomal RNA
Rfam family: Bacterial small subunit ribosomal RNA
Source: RNAcentral